RNAcentral lists this ribosomal RNA (429 nucleotides) under Enterococcus casseliflavus. Its description in RNAcentral is "bacterial SSU rRNA". It matches the Rfam family "Bacterial small subunit ribosomal RNA", at positions 28 to 436 of the family's 1533-position model. The record is from RNAcentral. Lineage: Bacteria; Bacillati; Bacillota; Bacilli; Lactobacillales; Enterococcaceae.
GACGAACGCUGGCGGCGUGCCUAAUACAUGCAAGUCGAACGCUUUUUCUUUCACCGGAGCUUGCUCCACCGAAAGAAAAAGAGUGGCGAACGGGUGAGUAACACGUGGGUAACCUGCCCAUCAGAAGGGGAUAACACUUGGAAACAGGUGCUAAUACCGUAUAACACUAUUUUCCGCAUGGAAGAAGGUUGAAAGGCGCUUUUGCGUCACUGAUGGAUGGACCCGCGGUGCAUUAGCUAGUUGGUGAGGUAACGGCUCACCAAGGCAACGAUGCAUAGCCGACCUGAGAGGGUGAUCGGCCACACUGGGACUGAGACACGGCCCAGACUCCUACGGGAGGCAGCAGUAGGGAAUCUUCGGCAAUGGACGAAAGUCUGACCGAGCAACGCCGCGUGAGUGAAGAAGGUUUUCGGAUCGUAAAAACUCUGU